GCUAGCUUAUUAUUAGUAUAAAAGCCAUAGAAAUCUGGAUUUCCUCUUCCACACACACCAUUAUCAAAGCUUUAGAGUUCAGAUUGAGUCUGUGUCCUUAGUUAGCUGAAGAUGAGCGACCCAAAAUAUGGUUAUCCCUACCCUGCUCAAGGCCAAGGUUAUUAUCAAGGCCCUCCAGUAAUGGCACCUCCACAGUAUGCUUAUGCUCCACCACCCAGGAGAGAACCAGGUUUCCUAGAGGGAUGCCUUGCAGCGUUGUGUUGCUGCUGCCUUGUUGACGAGUGUUGCUGCGACCCCUCCGUCCUCUUCAUCAUCUGAAUCAUCAGUAUCUUUGAUAUAUAGAUAGAUAUAUCCCUGCGUACUUGGAUUAAUUCGACUCCUCCUAUUUAAUUAUGUAAUGCGAGAUCUUGCUUGUUAUUGAUUCUGUAGUUUUCAUGUACAAGACCGAUCUACAUACUCGUUUCCAUUGUUGUACUCUAAUGUGCUAUAACUUCGAUUUAGAUUUUUCGUCUUGA
Long non-coding RNA from Rosa rugosa (rugosa rose), 515 nucleotides. RefSeq lists it as uncharacterized. NCBI's taxonomy places the organism in Eukaryota, Viridiplantae, Streptophyta, Magnoliopsida, Rosales, Rosaceae. The transcript is spliced from 3 exons. The record is from RefSeq and is a predicted model, not a curated record.